GACGAACGCUGGCGGCGUGCCUAAUACAUGCAAGUAGAACGCUGAAGGAGGAGCUUGCUUCUCCGGAUGAGUUGCGAACGGGUGAGUAACGCGUAGGUAACCUGCCUGGUAGCGGGGGAUAACUAUUGGAAACGAUAGCUAAUACCGCAUAACAGUAGAUGUUGCAUGACAUUUGCUUAAAAGGUGCAAUUGCAUCACUACCAGAUGGACCUGCGUUGUAUUAGCUAGUUGGUGAGGUAACGGCUCACCAAAGCGACGAUACAUAGCCGACCUGGGAAGGUGAUCGGCCAAACUGGGACUGGGACACGGCCCAGGCUCCUACGGGAGGCAGCAGUAGGGGAUCUUCGGCAAUGGACGGAAGGCUGAACGAACAACGCCGCGGGAGUGAAGAAGGGUUUCGGAUCGGAAAGCUCUGUUGUAAGGGAAGAACGAGUGUGAGAGUGGAAAGUUCACACUGUGACGGUAUCUGACCAGAAAGGGACGGCUAACUACGUG
This 495-nucleotide ribosomal RNA is filed under the name uncultured bacterium. RNAcentral describes it as "partial 16S ribosomal RNA". It matches the Rfam family "Bacterial small subunit ribosomal RNA", at positions 28 to 507 of the family's 1533-position model. The record is from RNAcentral.